AUUUCCCGUCAUAGGUUCUAUGCAGGCAGAUGAGUGUCACAGCUGUAACUGAGGCACAGAGCAGUACACACAGUGGAGCCGAUUUCCGCGAUGGCGAGAGGGGGCACCGGAGGUGACAACAAUAACAAGACUGUCCUUCGGACAAGUUUUAGAUUCUCAGGAUGAUGGAGUGAGUGAUGGAAUAGGUUGCCAACUGUAGUUACUCCACUCAGCACAGAAUGGCUGCGGGGAAAUAUAAUCAGACAUGCCCAAAGAAGUCUGCUUAGGGUGAAACAAAUACCUUUGAGGUUUAAAUCAGAAAGGAAGGAGAGACUGUUUCUACAGGUGUCAUACAAAAAUCAAUACUGAGCCAAGGAUUAUUGGAUCCCAUAGAACCACGGAGACUUGGUAGUGAAAUUCUUCCAAAGCAUUCCAUCCGUGCAGGCAGAUGGUGUUCCUAGGUUUGGAAAUAUAAAUCCCAUGGGAAGUCAGCUGAAGACCAUUUUAUGCAUCACUCAUCCUGUUAGAGCCCUGUGCUGUUCUGUCUCUCUAUAAGACUGGCUGAAACCACCACGGUUGUUUACAAUUUAUGCUCUAACUUUGGAUCACCUAGUUAAUACUCUAACUCCGAUUAUUACCAAAGACAAUGUUCUAUAAAAGAUAUUGUCUAUUAGAAGGAUGCUUCUGCAUUAUUAAUAAAAUCACAGGGAAAAUGCAACAUUUUGGAUGUCACAUCUGAUAAGUUGGCAGUUAAAGAACAGAAACAGCAAUAAGACUGCGUGGCUACAUUUUCCCAGUGCCACCAACUGGGAUUUAAGCUGACUAACAUUUUGAAAGCCCAGCCCAUUUCAUUCACAGCAGGAUGGCAGUGGGUGACUGAUCGUACCCGCCAGCUGGCUAAUGUCAUAAUUAACAAAGUUGCUACUACAUCUGCAAAGUUUAAUCGAAAAAUUUGCCAGUGAUAUGAUGGCCUUGUCACAGAGAUCACAAGGGACACGGAGUUGACUUUUGCUCAAGGUGGAACGACAGAGCUGUGUAGGCAAGAUGAGAAAUUGCGAACUUGUUCGGCCAAAGAAAAAAAAGUUGAUUUAUUGAACUGACUGCAGAAAAAGAAGAAGAAGAAGAAGAUCAAUCUGACAUUGAGGCUAAUAAUGAAGGGGCCGGGAAGGAGGCCAGUGCUACCAGGGUUAUCUCACAACCUCAGAUGCUGGAUAAGUCGACGGAGGCAGAAUCGCUUUGGGAUGACAUUCAGAAAGCCUGGAGUGAUUACUUGCAAGAGAAAAGCCUACCUAUUCUUUCCAAGGU
Molecule: long non-coding RNA, 1284 nt
Filed under: Homo sapiens (human)
Lineage: Eukaryota; Metazoa; Chordata; Mammalia; Primates; Hominidae
Source: RNAcentral